UCCUACGGGAGGCAGCAGUGGGGAAUCUUGGACAAUGGGGGCAACCCUGAUCCAGCCAUGCCGCGUGAGUGAUGAAGGCCCUAGGGUCGAAAAGCUCUUUCGCCAGAGAUGAUAAUGACAGUAUCUGGUAAAGAAACCCCGGUUAACUCCGUGCCAGCAGCCGCGGUAAUACGGAGGGGGUUAGCGUUGUUCGAAUUUACUGGGCGUAAAGCGCACGUGGGCGGAUUGGAAAUUUAAAGGUGAAAUCCCGGGGCUCAACCCGGGAAAUGGCCUUUAAAACUCCCCGUCUUUGAUUUUAAAAAGAGGUGAGGGGAAUUCCCCAGUGUGCAGGGGGAAUUUCCUAAAUUAUUUCG
RNAcentral lists this ribosomal RNA (353 nucleotides) under bacterium A6S_VP8_H9. RNAcentral's name for it is "bacterial SSU rRNA". It matches the Rfam family "Bacterial small subunit ribosomal RNA", at positions 337 to 701 of the family's 1533-position model. The record is from RNAcentral.